AGGGGGGGCAAGCGUUGUUCGGAAUUACUGGGCGUAAAGGGCUCGUAGGCGGCCAAUUAAGUCCGACGUGAAAUCCCCAGGCUUAACCUGGGAACUGCGUCGGAUACUGAUUGGCUUGAAUCCGGGAGAGGGAUGCGGAAUUCCAGGUGUAGCGGUGAAAUGCGUAGAUAUCUGGAGGAACACCGGUGGCGAAGGCGGCAUCCUGGACCAACACUGACGCUGAGGAGCGAAAGCCAGGGGAGCAAACGGGAUUAGAUACCCCGGUAGUCCUGGCCCUAAACGAUGAAUGCUUGGUGUGGCGGGUAUCGAUCCCUGCCGUGCCGAAGCUAACGCAUUAAGCAUUCCGCCUGGGGAGUACGGUCGCAAGGCUG
This 371-nucleotide ribosomal RNA is filed under the name uncultured bacterium. RNAcentral's name for it is "bacterial SSU rRNA". It matches the Rfam family "Bacterial small subunit ribosomal RNA", at positions 527 to 896 of the family's 1533-position model. The record is from RNAcentral.